AUUGAACGCUGGCGGAAUGCUUUACACAUGCAAGUCGAACGGCAGCACGGACUUCGGUCUGGUGGCGAGUGGCGAACGGGUGAGUAACAUAUCGGAACGUAUCCAAUAAUGGGGGAUAACUAAUCGAAAGGUUGGCUAAUACCGCAUACGCCCUACGGGGGAAAGCAGGGGAUCUUCGGACCUUGCGUUAAUGGAGCGGCUGAUAUCUGAUUAGCUAGUUGGUGAGGUAAAGGCUCACCAAGGCGACGAUCAGUAGCUGGUCUGAGAGGACGACCAGCCACACUGGAACUGAGCCACGGUCCAGAGUCCUACGGGAGGCAGCAGUGGGGAAUUUUGGACAAUUGGCGCAAGCCUGAUCCAGCCAUUCCGCGUGAGUGAAGAAGGCCUUCGGGUUGUAAAGCUCUUUCGCAAGGGAAGAAAACUUACUUUCUAAUAAAGAGUGAGGUUGACGGUACCUUGAUAAGAAGCACCGGCUAACUACGUGCCAGCCGCCGCGGUAA
RNAcentral lists this ribosomal RNA (500 nucleotides) under uncultured bacterium. RNAcentral's name for it is "partial 16S ribosomal RNA". It matches the Rfam family "Bacterial small subunit ribosomal RNA", at positions 30 to 523 of the family's 1533-position model. The record is from RNAcentral.